RNAcentral lists this ribosomal RNA (465 nucleotides) under uncultured bacterium. RNAcentral describes it as "partial 16S ribosomal RNA". It matches the Rfam family "Bacterial small subunit ribosomal RNA", at positions 338 to 795 of the family's 1533-position model. The record is from RNAcentral.
CCUACGGGGGGCAGCAGUGGGGAAUAUUGCGCAAUGGGCGAAAGCCUGACGCAGCGACGCCGCGUGAGGGAUGAAGGUCUUCGGAUCGUAAACCUCUGUCAGCAGGGAAGAACGGUCACUGUGCUAAUCAGCAGUGAAUUGACGGUACCUGCAAAGGAAGCACCGGCUAACUCCGUGCCAGCAGCCGCGGUAAUACGGAGGGUGCGAGCGUUAAUAGGAAUUACUGGGCGUAAAGCGCUCGUAUGCGGUAUGUCAAGUUCAGGGUGAAAUCCCCGCGCUCAACGUGGGAACUGCCUUUGAAACUGGCAAACUGGAGUGUGGGAGAGGAUAGUGGAAUGCCGGGUGUAGGGGUGAAAGCCGUAGAUAUCUGGAGGAACAUCAGUGGCGAAGGCGACUAUCGGGCACAUAACUGACGCUGAGGAGCGAAAGCGUGGGUAGCAAACAGGAUUAGAUACCCCGGUAGUC